UCACAAUUUAGUGCUAAAUAUGGAUUCGAAUUUUAAGAAUUUUAAAUAUAUGCAGUUGCACCAAGUACUAUUAAAAUUACAACCCCUUAAACAGUACUAUGAUGAUAGCGGGCAUAAAAACACUUUCAAGACACAGGAAGAUGUGCAAAAGAUCUGUGGAGACUUUUUAAAGGCACUCAAAAAAGAUUUGAGUCUUGAGGAAAUAACGUCUUUAUAUUCCGCAGCCAUAAUGCUGCUUAUACUAGGAGAUCCUGAAAUACAAAAUCAGCGGCUCGAACUCUUGAACGAUUGUUUCAAUUAUUCAGACAUGUUAAAGCCAACAAUGAUUGAUUAUGCCACUCGUGAAUUACUUGAUAACUUAAAAUUCGCUGCAAGCCUUGCUGAGAACCAUACUGACUAUGAUUAUAUGCUUUAUUUAUUAUGGGCAAUACCGCAUAUAAUCACAGCAAGUGAAACGGGAAAAAUGAUAUCACUGGGCCUUUUACGCGCUUUUAUAGCCGAGUUGACGAGUUCGAGCCCAGUUGUCAUGCAUAUAUAUCGAAAUUCUGGCAAAUGUUUAAAACCCUAAAGGUGGAGGCAAUACUAGACGAAUGGACACUGAAAAAAACAUACACAUUGGUUAAGAGCUUUGCAUUAAUAUUGGCAGCAGCUGCGUUGAACAGUAACAAUGCGGCAUUAAAGCAAGCCGGGUACCGGGGCUUUGAGUUGCCCCAAGCAGAGACUUGCACUGAAAUUUCGGAGUGGUUCAAGAUCCUCAGAAACAAGCUAGAAGAGAAGCACAAGGCAGACAAAUGCAAAGCAGGCUUGAUGUUGGUACGCUUUAUUG
This 826-nucleotide unclassified non-coding RNA is filed under the name Drosophila virilis. Its description in RNAcentral is "GJ27008". Lineage: Eukaryota; Metazoa; Arthropoda; Insecta; Diptera; Drosophilidae. The record is from RNAcentral.